UAAUGCAGGAUCCUGAACGGUUCAUUUGUUAGUUUGCUGGCCAUCAGUACUCAGUACUUUAUUCAUGACAUUGGCUGUGUGGUGUUCCAUUAAUUACUGGAUUUGAUAGACAGCAUCCUUCUUUUGGUUUUGUUAUACAUCUUGUUUCUUACCCGUAAGCUUGUUUUUUCUUUCUUCGCCAAAAUAAAGCUGAAUUAUAUUAUUGAAACAAG
RNAcentral lists this long non-coding RNA (212 nucleotides) under Linum usitatissimum (flax). RNAcentral describes it as "long non-coding RNA (LUSI_LNC000843)". The record is from RNAcentral. Lineage: Eukaryota; Viridiplantae; Streptophyta; Magnoliopsida; Malpighiales; Linaceae.